ACCCAGCUGACGAGCCCUAGAUAGGACGAAACACGUGUCCUAUAU
This 45-nucleotide non-coding RNA is filed under the name Schistosoma haematobium. Lineage: Eukaryota; Metazoa; Platyhelminthes; Trematoda; Strigeidida; Schistosomatidae. The record is from RNAcentral.